GACGAACGCUGGCGGCGUGCUUAACACAUGCAAGUCGAACGGAAAGGCCCUGCUUUUGUGGGGUGCUCGAGUGGCGAACGGGUGAGUAACACGUGAGUAACCUGCCCUUGACUUUGGGAUAACUUCAGGAAACUGGGGCUAAUACCGGAUAGGAGCUCCUGCUGCAUGGUGGGGGUUGGAAAGUUUCGGCGGUUGGGGAUGGACUCGCGGCUUAUCAGCUUGUUGGUGGGGUAGUGGCUUACCAAGGCUUUGACGGGUAGCCGGCCUGAGAGGGUGACCGGCCACAUUGGGACUGAGAUACGGCCCAGACUACUACGGGACGCAGCAGUGGGGAAUAUUGCACAAUGGGCGGAAGCCUGAUGCAGCAACGCAGCGUGCGGGAUGACGGCCUUCGGGUUGUACACCGCUUUCGCCUGUGACGAAGCGUGAGUGACGGUAAUGGGUAAAGAAGCACCGGCUAACUACGUG
This 468-nucleotide ribosomal RNA is filed under the name uncultured bacterium. RNAcentral describes it as "partial 16S ribosomal RNA". It matches the Rfam family "Bacterial small subunit ribosomal RNA", at positions 28 to 507 of the family's 1533-position model. The record is from RNAcentral.